Molecule: non-coding RNA, 160 nt
Organism: Hydra vulgaris (swiftwater hydra)
Lineage: Eukaryota; Metazoa; Cnidaria; Hydrozoa; Anthoathecata; Hydridae
Source: RefSeq, a predicted model, not a curated record
UUUCCAAGAAUACACGAUUCUUACCAAUUUAACACAGAUAUGAUGGAUUUUGUACCCUUAAGUAAAAAAAAUCUUGGUUAUUCAGCAUUGAGAUCUACUGAAGAUGGAAAUUGUCUUUAUAGUUCAGUAUCUUUGAUUUUAAAUGACAAUAAUCAUACUU